GCAGGCCUAAUACAUGCAAGUCGAACGGCAGCACGGGUAGCAAUACCUGGUGGCGAGUGGCGCACGGGUGCGUAACGCGUAUGCAACCUACCUUUGACUGGGGGAUAGCCCCGAGAAAUCGGGAUUAAUACCCCAUAUCAUUACAAGCCGGCAUCGGUUUGUGAUGAAAGCUCCGGCGGUCUUAGAUGGGCAUGCGUGACAUUAGCUUGUUGGUGAGGUAACGGCUCACCAAGGCAACGAUGUCUAGGGGUUCUGAGAGGAUUUUCCCCCACACUGGUACUGAGACACGGACCAGACUCCUACGGGAGGCAGCAGUAAGGAAUAUUGGGCAAUGGACGCAAGUCUGACCCAGCCAUGCCGCGUGCAGGAUGACGGCCCUACGGGUUGUAAACUGCUUUUAUACGGGAAAAAACUCCCGGUCGCGUACCGGGACUGAUGGUACCGUAAGAAUAAGCAUCGGCUAACUCCGUGCCAGCAGCCGCGGUAAUACGGAGGAUGCAAGCGUUAUCCGGAUUCAUUGGGUUUAAAGGGUGCGCAGGCGGAAUGAUAAGUCAGUGGUGAAAUCCUACGGCUCAACUGUAGAACUGCCAUUGAUACUGUUGUUCUUGAGUACAUUUGUAGUGGGCGGAAUGUGUC
This 636-nucleotide ribosomal RNA is filed under the name uncultured Bacteroidota bacterium. RNAcentral's name for it is "bacterial SSU rRNA". It matches the Rfam family "Bacterial small subunit ribosomal RNA", at positions 42 to 672 of the family's 1533-position model. Lineage: Bacteria; Pseudomonadati; Bacteroidota. The record is from RNAcentral.